GGCCCUUUUUAUGAAUCUCUUAAGCUUCAGGGAUUAAAAAAUUAAACUAUGCCAUUACAUUAGGUCAUAAAGGUACAAAUUACACAAGAAGUUUUGCUGCAUUUAUUCAUAUCACAAUUCUUACAUUGUAUACAAUAUGCAUGCAAUCAUUCCUAAGGGAAUAAAUGAACAAUGAAGGCCACUAUUCUUAUAUAAUUAAUCUAGCAGAGAGGGAAUCAGAAUACUAAAGAAAUCUUCGCCAGGCGCGGUGGCUCACGCCUGUAAUCCCAGCACUUUGGGAGCGGAGGUGGGUGGAUCACGAGGUCAGGAGAUCGAGACCAUCCUGGCUAACACAGUGAAAUCCCGUCUCUACUAAAAAAAUACAAAAAAAUUAGCCAGGCGUGGUGGUGGGCGCCUGUAUUCCCAACUACUCGGGAGGCUGAGGCAGGAGAAUGGCGUGAACCCGGGAGGCGGAGCUUGCAGUGAGCCGAGAUCGUGCCAUGGCACUCCAGCCUGGGCAACAGAGCAAGACUCCGUCUCAAAAAAAGCAAAAAACAAAAAACAAAAAAACCCAGAAAUACCUCUAUUAUAUAUGAACAUAUGUAGUAUUUUCUUCAAAAUAGCCAACAUAUGUUGAGUACUUACUAUGUGCCAGACACUGUAAUAAGUGUUUGACAUAAAUAUAUAGUCACUCAAUCCUAGCAACCACUCUCUAAACUAGGUUCUGUCAUCUUCAUUUUACAGAUGAGAAAACUGAGGGUCAGAAAGUUUAAGUAACUUGCCCAAGGUCACACAGAACCAGGAUUGAAACCCCAGUAAUCUCACUCCAAAGCCUGCAUUCUUUUUUUUUUUUUUUUUUGAGACGGAGUCUUGCUCUGUCGCCCAGGCUGGAGUGCAAUGGCGUGAUCUCGGCUCACUGCAAGCUCCGCCUCCCGGGUUCAAGUGAUUCUCCUGCCUCAGCCUCCCUAGUAGCUGGGAUUACAGGCAUGUGCCACCACGCCUGGCUAAUUUUGUAUUUUUAGUAGAGACGGGGUUUCUCCAUGUUGGUCAGGCUGGUCUUGA
This 1041-nucleotide long non-coding RNA is filed under the name Homo sapiens (human). Its description in RNAcentral is "HSALNT0336073". The record is from RNAcentral. Lineage: Eukaryota; Metazoa; Chordata; Mammalia; Primates; Hominidae.